Piliocolobus tephrosceles (Ugandan red Colobus) is the source of this 2097-nucleotide long non-coding RNA. The record is from Ensembl. NCBI's taxonomy places the organism in Eukaryota, Metazoa, Chordata, Mammalia, Primates, Cercopithecidae.
AUGCAAGCUAGUUAUGUUACAUACAGCCCGUUAUAUAAAGAAAAGUACUUGUAUCCGGAGGUAUAUAAAAUAAGUAAUAUAUAUCCAGAUAGUAGUCAAAACGAUGUAGUUGUAUCUAAUAAUUCAGCCUUUGAAAACUUAACUAAUUAUGUUAAUACUUAUGUUAAUGCUAUUUGUAAUGAAAAUGGUUUUAAUAAUAUGAAUAAUAAAAUGAGUCAGGAAAAUUGUAUAAGGCAACACACAACCGAAUCAGCGUAUGCAGGCAGUGGGAGUAAUAUAAGCAGUUGCAGUGUUAGUACCAAUGUCCAUUUAAGUCAAAUGCAUGUCAACAAUGGUAUGGAUAUUAUUACGUACGAAAGAAAAACAACAUGGUCACAGUUGCUUAAACAAAUGAAAACGUGUAUAGUGCUUAACAAAAUAGAUAUCCAUAAUAGAGUAUGUGUUGGUUCCUGUGGUACUAUAAAAGAUAUGGAAAGGGUAAAAAGUAUAAGUGAUAUCAGUUGUAGCAGCAGAAGUAAUAGUAGCAACAGAAGUAAUAGUAGCAACAGAAGUAAUANNNNNNNNNNCAGAAGUAAUAGUAGCAACAGAAGUAAUAGUAGCAACAGAAGUAAUAGUAGCAGCAGAAGUAAUAGCAGCAACAGAAGUAAUAGCAGCAACAGAAGUAAUAGCAGCAACAGAAGCAGUAAUCAUAGUUACAAAAUGAAUAUCAUAUUGAAUAGCAACCACACAAGUACAAGUAAAAGUACGGACACCAAUAACAUGAUAACAUUUCAUUUGAAAAACCACUUGAACAUAUGUCGCACCAUGAACAAUCACAAUGUAAAUAGUUUGAUAUUACAUUAUCUACUUUUGUAUGAUAAGAACGAUUUAACUAUAUUUUUUGAAUAUUUAAAAAAAAACUUCAAAUGUUUAUACAGCUAUUUUUUUAAUUUUUUAUCUAUUAAUACUAAAAAAGCGUUAAUAAAAAUUUUAAAAAAAAAUGAUAUAUCUUAUUUUAUAAAAAUAAUGUCAGGCACAAAUAAAGAUGUAAUACACAACAUACAAAUGUUGUUAUUUAUUUAUUACCUUUUUAAUAAAAGUUUUUCAUUGCGUAGAGGUAGUAGUGAUGACAGUAAUAUUAGUACUAAUAUAUCCCAUACUAAUUUAAUGGUUAUUUUUCACACAUUAAAAAGAGUUUUUAAUUGUGUACAUUUGGUUGUUAGUAACAAUAAUAAUAGCAAUAAAUAUGGUAAAAAAAAAAAAAAAAAUAAAAAAAUAAGUGGUUUAGCUAAAUCAAUCAUGAAUUUGUACAUAUAUGGUAAUAACUCAUAUGAUGAAUAUUCCAAUUGGAGUAAUAACAAGCCAAUUGAGCAUAGCUAUUCUGAAGGUAACAUACGUUUUAGUAAAAAACAAGGCUCCAUAAUUACAAAAGAUAAUAUAAAUAAUUGUACUACAUUAAGGGACAUAACAAAUGAACAAUUUUUUACACUCAUGACUUACGUAAUAAAAGAAUUAAAUAAUUAUGUUUUGAAAAAAUUUGAAAACAAUUGUUUAUGUUUAAAUUAUUAUUUUUUGUUAAAUUUGGAAAGAAGUAAACUGAUUAAUAUGUGCUUAUUUUUCAAUAAAAUAAAAAAAAGCUUAUUUUUAUGGCAUAAAUAUUGUAUUACAAAAAGAAAAAAAAAAAAAAGUGAUCUCACAAAAAUGAUGAACAUAAUUAACAAAAAUCAAAAGGACACUGUAGAAAAAUAUUUUGGACUAUGGGUAUUAACAUUUAAUACUAGUAUAAAAGAGGCAAAAAUAAAAAGGAAAAAAAUUAUAAAAAAACGUGUACGUACAUUAUUUUUUUAUUGGUAUAACUUUACUAUUGUAAGUAAUUAUGAUAAACAUACAUUUUUAGAAUUAAAAGAGAAAAUAAAAAAAAGAUUAAAAAUUGUGUGUUUUAAUGGAUUACUAUCAUUUGGUAAAAAAAGACAAAAACAAAAAAAUUUUAUUAAAGUUUUAUUAAAAAGUAGUAACAAUAAAAAAAAGCAAACAUUUUUUAAUCUAUGGUUAUUGAUGUAUCAAUACGAAAAGUACUCUACUUAUAUAAAAGACAAAAUAAAUAAUAAAUUAAUAGAC